GAUGAACGCUGGCGGCGUGCCUAAUACAUGCAAGUAGAACGCUGAAGGAGGAGCUUGCUCUUCUGGAUGAGUUGCGAACGGGUGAGUAACGCGUAGGUAACCUGCCUGGUAGCGGGGGAUAACUAUUGGAAACGAUAGCUAAUACCGCAUGACAACAGUUAUUGCAUGAUAACUGUUUAAAAGGGGCAACUGCUCCACUACCAGAUGGACCUGCGUUGUAUUAGCUAGUUGGUGAGGUAACGGCUCACCAAGGCGACGAUACAUAGCCGACCUGAGAGGGGGAUCGGCCACACUGGGACUGAGACACGGCCCAGACUCCUACGGGAGGCAGCAGUAGGGAAUCUUCGGCAAUGGACGGAAGUCUGACCGAGCAACGCCGCGUGAGUGAAGAAGGGUUUCGGAUCGUAAAGCUCUGUUGCAAGAGAAGAACGAGUGUGAGAGUGGAAAGUUCACACUGUGACGGUAUCUGACCAGAAAGGGACGGCUAACUACGUG
RNAcentral lists this ribosomal RNA (495 nucleotides) under uncultured bacterium. Its description in RNAcentral is "partial 16S ribosomal RNA". It matches the Rfam family "Bacterial small subunit ribosomal RNA", at positions 28 to 507 of the family's 1533-position model. The record is from RNAcentral.